UACGGGGGGGGCAAGCGUUGUUCGGAAUUACUGGGCGUAAAGGGUUCGUAGGUGGCUAACUAAGUCAGACGUGAAAUCCCUCGGCUUAACCGGGGAACUGCGUCUGAUACUGGAUGGCUUGAGUUCGGGAGAGGGAUGCGGAAUUCCAGGUGUAGCGGUGAAAUGCGUAGAUAUCUGGAGGAACACCGAUGGCGAAGGCAGCAUCCUGGACCGACACUGACGCUGAGGAGCGAAAGCCAGGGGAGCAAACGGG
RNAcentral lists this ribosomal RNA (253 nucleotides) under uncultured bacterium. RNAcentral describes it as "partial 16S ribosomal RNA". It matches the Rfam family "Bacterial small subunit ribosomal RNA", at positions 524 to 776 of the family's 1533-position model. The record is from RNAcentral.